UACGUAGGGGGCUAGCGUUGUCCGGAAUCAUUGGGCGUAAAGAGCGUGUAGGCGGCUUGGUAAGUCCGCUGUGAAAGUCCAGGGCUCAACCCUGGAAUGCCAGUGGAUACUGUCAAGCUAGAGUCCGGAAGAGGCGAGUGGAAUUCCUGGUGUAGCGGUGAAAUGCGCAGAUAUCAGGAGGAACACCAAUGGCGAAGGCAGCUCGCUGGGACGGUACUGACGCUGAGACGCGAAAGCGUGGGGGAGCAAACAGG
This 254-nucleotide ribosomal RNA is filed under the name uncultured bacterium. RNAcentral describes it as "partial 16S ribosomal RNA". It matches the Rfam family "Bacterial small subunit ribosomal RNA", at positions 524 to 776 of the family's 1533-position model. The record is from RNAcentral.